CCUACGGGUGGCAGCAGUAGGGAAUAUUGCUCAAUGGGGGAAACCCUGAAGCAGCAACGCCGCGUGGAGGAUGCAGGUUUUCGGAUUGUAAACUCCUUUUGUUAGAGAAGAUAAUGACGGUAUCUAACGAAUAAGCACCGGCUAACUCCGUGCCAGCAGCCGCGGUAAUACGGAGGGUGCAAGCGUUACCCGGAAUCACUGGGCGUAAAGAGCGCGUAGGCGGGAUAGCAAGUCAGAUGUGAAAUCCUCAGGCUUAACCAUAGAACUGCAUUUGAAACUGUUAUUCUAGAGUGUGGUAGAGGUAAGUGGAAUGCUUGGUGUAGGGGUAAAAUCCGUAGAGAUCAAGAGGAAUACUCAUGGCGAAGGCGACCUGCUAGAACGUAACUGACGCUGAUGCGCGAAAGCGUGGGUAGCAAACAGGAUUAGAUACCCGAGUAGUC
RNAcentral lists this ribosomal RNA (440 nucleotides) under uncultured bacterium. Its description in RNAcentral is "partial 16S ribosomal RNA". It matches the Rfam family "Bacterial small subunit ribosomal RNA", at positions 338 to 795 of the family's 1533-position model. The record is from RNAcentral.